UGGGCGGAGCCGUGCCGCUUUCGCCACUGCUGGCGUCUGUCCGCGUGGGGACGCCUUUGCCCUGCCUUUCUGAGUUGGCCAGGCCCAGGGGUGGGGAGUUCCAGGAGCACUGGGAUAAUCAAGCAAAAGAAAGAUGAGCUUCGUCUAUGGAUUGCAGUCUGCUACUAGAAACUGUCUUUCCUUCCGAUUUAAUUUGCGGACCAACUGGAGAAAAUGUAACACAACAGCUAUAACCUCACGGGACUGUCAUCAAGUACAACUUAACCACAUAGUAAAUAAUAUUGAAUGCAAACUGGGAGUAAAUCGGUGUAAUAGGGUGACUUCUCUGCCUGGAAACUCACAUUUCUAUAGAACUUUUAAUAACAAAAGUGCAGGAUACCUCUCGAGUCUUAAAAGCAAGGACAAUAAGUGUACAGCAUGGCGUGACCCUUUUCCAAGACAGAAACUGAUAGAAGAAGUUGCAGUAGGUCCCGCUCUUUCAGUAUUGCAUCCUCUAAACUGCUUUCCCAUAAGAGACAUCAGGAGUUUCCACACUUCUUCACGGUGGCAAGCUGCUCCCUUCCCUCUCUUGUGGAUAAUUCUUAAACCAGUGCAGAAACUACUUGCAAUCAUUGUUGGCAGGGGCAUAAGGAAAUGGUGGCACGCACUUCCUCCCAACAAGAAGGAACACUUUAAAGAAAGUGUAAGGGAGAACAAAUGGAAGUUACUCCUGGGGUUGAGCACUUUCGGAUUUCUCUUCGUAGUGUUUUAUUUCACUCACCUGGAAGUGAGUCCAAUCACAGGAAGGACCAAGCUACUGCUGUUGGGGAAAGAGCAUUUCAGUCUUUUAGCAGAACUGGAAUAUGAAGCAUACAUGGAAGAAUUUAAAAAUGAUAUGCUAACUGAGAAAGAUGCCCAGUACCUGAACAUUAAAGAAGUGUUUUAUCAUUUAAUUGAAUGCAAUAAAGAUAUCCCAGGGAUCUCCGAGAUCAAGUGGAUCAUUCAUGUGGUUGAUUCCCCAGAUAUAAAUGCCUUUGUGCUUCCGAAUGGACAUGUGUUUGUCUUCACUGGGCUUUUCAAUGCUGUGGCUAGUGUGCACCAACUUGCCUUCAUUCUGGGCCAUGAAAUAGCACAUGCAGUACUUGAGCAUGCUGCAGAAAAGGCCAGCGUGGUUCAUUUAUUGGAUUUCCUAGGUCUAAUUUUCCUCACAAUGAUUUGGGCCGUUUGUCCUCGAGACAGCUUGGCAAUUGUGGGCCAGUGGUUGCAGUCUACAUUGAAAGAGUAUUUGUUCAGUAGACCAUACAGUAGAACACUGGAGGCUGAAGCUGACAAAAUUGGACUACAGCUUGCUGCAAAGGCUUGUGUGGACGUCAGAUCCAGUUCAGUGUUUUGGCAGCAGCUGGAACUUGCAGAUACCCUCUUUGGUCACCCCAGCGUGCCAGAAUGGUUAUCCACACACCCUUCUCAUGGAAACCGAGUUGAGCAGUUGGAUAGACUCAUACCCGAGGCUCUCGAAAUUAGAGAGACCUGCAAUUGCCCACCACUUUCUGAACCAGACCCUCGAUUAGUGUUCAAACUCGCCAUGAAGGAUUUUCUUAAAGAAUCAGAGAAAAAGGACCUAAAUACCACUGCUGAGAAACAGAAAGUGGGUCCUCUUCCCAUUGGAAAACAGAAGCAAACAUCAGGAGCAUAAAUAAUUAAGAAAGAACUAGCAGUUGAAUUGAAAUAUGUGAGACAACGGAUAUAUGAAGAAUAUAGCAAUCCUUAUCACUUUACAUUACUUGAGGAAAAUGUUUGAAAUGAAAAAAAUGAUAUUCACCGUCAAAUCAUGUAUAUUACAGAUGAUGUCAAGAUGGCUGUGGGCAGCUCCUGGCGUAUGUGAUUCCUUCACAUCCAGGUGGGAGGAGUGACUCACCUGGGCACUAUUGAAACAGCCUUCAACACCACCUGCACCCUCUGAGGAGCACCCCAGGAGCCACUGCAGGGUGGGGAUGGGAUUAUGCUGAGGAUGGGUACAGCCAACACCACCCAACAGCUGCUGAGGAUGGCGGGAGACAUGGCAGCCACAGACUCGACUAAGUAACGACUAGAAACCCCUUACCACUUAUCCUCUGUCAACAGGCUGAGAGACACAACAAUUCCUUGAAGAUUUGCUCUGAAGUGACAUUUAAUCUGAGCACAAAAACGUAGCCUGAGUUUCACAUUGAUAUGAUAAUACAUUUGCAUGAACCUAUUUGCUUUACCACUUACAAGAUAUCCACCUCCCCACCACCACCUGAAUUAUCUCCUUUCCUCAAAAUCAACCUAUGAGAUUGAAGGACAAGUGGUGUUAUUGGCUCCUAGGGGAGAAAACUAAAGCUGGAGGAAUUAGGCAAGUCAUCCAAGUGUGCACUUCAGGUAAAUGGCAGAACUGGGGCUGGGAGGAACCAAUGCGUUGAUUGUAAUCCAGUGCUCUUUCGGCAAUACCACGUUCUUUGGAGAGGGAAGUACUGCCUCCGUUUUUCAGCUGGAAAACGAAGCACAAGGAUAUUAAGCAGCUGUGUGCCCAGCACUGCUCAGCAUGUAACGGCAGAACUGAGAUUCAGACCCUUGUCUUCUGACUCCAAGGUCUGUGCUCUUCAUUCAUCUACUGCCACUGCAGUGGGCAGAUCUCAUAAAGGAGGUGGGAAUGGAGAGUGUUCAUUUCCCUUCACCCUGUAAAUAGCAGGGCUAAUACCCUUUGUCCCCUUAUUUAAAAGCACUCGUUUUAAUGCUCUAGGGCAGGUGGUAAAAAUUACCAUUCACUUAUGUUCACAUACAUGAAAGAUAAAAUUCCUGUGUAUCAUCUGUUAAUGUGUUUGUAUUAGGCUCUAGAGAGUUUCUUAAUCUGUGGUGAGAAAUAUCUCUUACUUCAUUACUAGAAAAAUCCUAUUGGUGUUCUACCCUUACCCCUUGCUCCCCAACUUCCACCGGAAAAUCAACAGUCCUCACAGUGAGGCCAGUGGCUCCUCGCCUUUAACCACCAGGGACUCUUUUUACAUUCCCUGGCUCUUUGUGCAUGGACUUUUACCCCGUAAUGUUUUCUGUCUUGAAGGUUUGGAGUAGACUCGUGACCAGGUUCUCAUAACCAUGAUCUCUUGUUGUGCUGGCAGUUAGGAGCUGAGCUAGUUGGGUAUGGGGGGGCGUAUGUCAGUGGGCGCCUGCUUGCAGAUCUCGGAAUUUCUGUGAUAUCAUCACAGACCUAUCAGGAGUUCUGUUCAUCAUGUGAAGUUCCAAAAAUUCCAGCCCAAAAGGAAAAUUUGUGAUUUUAAUUAGUUUGGGUAGCCUAAUUAUGUGAGAGAAAAUACAAAAUUUUUAGUUAGGCUUUUUGAACUGCAAAGCAGACCUGGCAGAUUCCCAAUACCAUUUUUAUAGAUUAUGAGGGGCCUGGGCCUCGUCCUAUGCAGCAUGGGUCGAAAAUCAGAUUUGCUUUUUUUCUCUCUUCAGAAUAUAAAAGAAAAGAAAAUUUACAUGUAUUAAUUUUGACCAAUAUAUUAUAGUAUAACCAUAUUUUUGUAGGUUAGGAAUGAUGGAUGGUCUACUUAAGGGUUCUGUUAUCCUAUAGUUAAGGAUAUAUUUUUUAAAGUACCUUAUCUUGGCACAGAAAAAAAAUAGGUUGAAUAUAAUUUUUUCCACAGCUCUUCCCCUCGGAUGUUAUAGUAGCCCUCAGAGAAUCAAGGGCAGCGAGACUAGUCUUACUCUUUUAUCUGGGGACAUGGGACAGUAACAUUUGCCCUACUUACUUCCCAGCAUCCUUUUAAGUAAUGUCUAUAUGCUUUCUACAACAUCUGCAGUGCUGCACCCAUGAUGUUUCUAUAUUCCAGCAUUGCUUAGUCUGGCCUGUGAGUGUUAGGAGAGGUCAUUUCCAAAUGCAAGGCCAUUUGCCUGAUCUGAUGCAGCCCAGAAUUGAUGAUGAACUGUUCUUACUCAAGUGGGAGAAAAGGGGAAACUUCUUUGUAGCACGUUUUAUUUUAAUCUGGUUUAUGAGUGUAUGUACCUUUAACCUAGUUAUUCUAUUAAUCCCCUAAUGCUUGUAGAGAACACUAGAGAGUGUUCCUGAUUCUGAUGCUCAAAUCAAGAGAAAUAAAGUCAACUUUUUC
Myotis myotis is the source of this 4097-nucleotide RNA transcript. It is a transcript of the gene named OMA1 zinc metallopeptidase, with no coding region annotated. NCBI's taxonomy places the organism in Eukaryota, Metazoa, Chordata, Mammalia, Chiroptera, Vespertilionidae. The transcript has 10 exons. The record is from RefSeq and is a predicted model, not a curated record.